AUGAAUUGCCUAAGUUGGAACUGCCGGGGAGGGAACACCCGGACAGUUCGUGAGUUAGCGACAAUCUGCAAGUCGCGUUCCCCCACGUUCGUAUUUUUAUGUGAGACUAGACAAAAGGAAGUAAAGAUGAAAAGACUGCGAAACCGGCUGGGUUUGAAGGGUUUUUGUGGAGUCGAUAGCAAUGGCAUGAGUGGUGGUCUCGCGGUGUACUGGCAUGAAAACUGUGUAGUGGAAAUCUUGAACAAAGAUGAGCGACAUAUUGAUGCUUUGAAUAGGAUGUAUGAAGGUGCAGAACAAUGGCGGGCAACUUUUGUAUAUGGGGAGCCUCGGGUGGAAAAUAGACAUCUUAUGUGGUCGAAGCUGUAG
Molecule: ribosomal RNA, 366 nt
Filed under: Triticum aestivum (bread wheat)
Lineage: Eukaryota; Viridiplantae; Streptophyta; Magnoliopsida; Poales; Poaceae
Description: partial small subunit ribosomal RNA
Source: RNAcentral